UAUAAUGCAAUUGAGUUAGUUUAGGGCAAAGAUUCGCAAAUAACAUCAACUUAACAGUAUUGUAACAGAUAUACUGUAAUUAUAUUUUCUUUGGAGGGGUUGCUGGGGAAGAUGGAUGUUUGGAAAAACAGCACAUGCGUCUUGUGUUUUCCAUAAUCUGGGGAGGGAAAACUGGCCGAACUUGAACUGCAUCAAGGACCUAAUAAGACCAGAUCAACCAAAUACACUCUCAACCUUCAAGACAGGCUUGUUUUUAAAAGCCCAGCCGGAUGUGCUGCAGGAGUGCCGUGUGGGAAUAUUACAUACAAAUGUAAAAAAAAAAAAGUUAAUCCAAUCGAAAUUAAUUAAAAUGGACAAAAAAGAAUGUAUGUUUUUGCCUGUUGGUCUUGCGGAAACAGCACCCCUGAGUAUAAUGAGAGGUGUAGGAGGGCUGGGAAUCAUGGUGAGGGAAAUGUGACACAUUAUGAGCCCAUUAGCUGUUCAAAUGUUUGUGGACAUGAUGGACUAUUGCAAAUGCUGUGGUACUUAGACAGCGACAGGGAACAACUGUGGUAAUUAUUUUAAGGAUCUAACUCUAUGGGAUACCAAGGGUUAUUUCCUGAGGCAUUAUGAGUACAAUUGCUGUAUCCUUUAUUGAAAAGUACACAAAGAUUCGCAGCAUGGCUUUUAUUGCUGAUGUUGUUCUUGCUCAGACACUGAACUGAACUGAAAAACUGAGAAAAAAAAACAUGUUUAAAGAUUAAUAGCAGCCAUGUACCCCACAUACCUUGAAAUACUGUAUGCUUAUGCAUUAAUUUUUAAUGGUUUAAUGAAAUCCAUUAAAGCUUUGCACUUGUUCUG
Lepisosteus oculatus (spotted gar) is the source of this 840-nucleotide long non-coding RNA. RefSeq lists it as uncharacterized. NCBI's taxonomy places the organism in Eukaryota, Metazoa, Chordata, Actinopteri, Semionotiformes, Lepisosteidae. The record is from RefSeq and is a predicted model, not a curated record.